Long non-coding RNA from Ornithorhynchus anatinus (platypus), 238 nucleotides. RefSeq lists it as uncharacterized. The transcript is spliced from 3 exons. Lineage: Eukaryota; Metazoa; Chordata; Mammalia; Monotremata; Ornithorhynchidae. The record is from RefSeq and is a predicted model, not a curated record.
CUCAGAUCCUGAGCUGAUUUCACCCCGCCGCAAAAGACCCCAGGCUACUGCCAGCUUCCGGGCGAUCCGAAGGGCGAGCCUCCCCAUUGCGUUAGGUAUCCUUCACUCCGCCACCCGUAUUGCAGAUGGCAGCUCCUCCCGUGUUCUAGGCUGGCAUGGGGCUCUGGCUGAAGAUAUCCUGUGGCUGUCCAGUCUUCUCACGUGUCCUGCCAGGGAGCUGGGUUGCUUUGGUGCCGGU